GUCCCUUCGGGGGCAUCUGAUAAAAUUGGAACGAUACAGAGAAGAUUAGCAUGGCCCCUGCGCAAGGAUGACACGCACAAAUUGAGAAAUGGUCCAAUUUUUU
Small nuclear RNA from Capsella rubella, 103 nucleotides. Lineage: Eukaryota; Viridiplantae; Streptophyta; Magnoliopsida; Brassicales; Brassicaceae. The record is from Rfam.